Onychostruthus taczanowskii (white-rumped snowfinch) is the source of this 277-nucleotide long non-coding RNA. RefSeq lists it as uncharacterized. The record is from RefSeq and is a predicted model, not a curated record. The transcript has 2 exons. Lineage: Eukaryota; Metazoa; Chordata; Aves; Passeriformes; Passeridae.
GCCCUCAGUCGGUGUCGGAGCCCGUGCGCGGGAGCGUCGCUGCUUAAACACCCUUAAACGCACUUGUUUAAGUUGAAAUGAAGAGCAGCACGAGGCAGGAGGGUAGCACGGCAAGCGCCGCCCAGAAGAGGCAACGAGCAGCAAACUCGUAACCCUAAAGCUGCGUUUUACACAGAAUUUAUCCAGGACCAGAACAUGCUGAGGAACAAGGUCUGAGAGAAAACCUUCAUGCUUCACUGAAUAGUCAUUUUUUGUAAUAAAGAAACAUCUUGACUUU